GCACAAGCGGUGGAGCAUGUGGUUAAUUCGACGCAACGCGAAAACCUUACCUACCCUUGACAUGUCCGGAAUCCUGCAGAGAUGCGGGAGUGCCGAAAGGGAAUCGGAACACAGGUGCUGCAUGGCUGUCGUCAGCUCGUGUCGCGAGAUGUUGGGUUAAGUCCCGCAACGAGCGCAACCCUUAUCAUUAGUUGCUACGCAAGGGCACUCUAAUGAGACUGCCGGUGACAAACCGGAGGAAGGUGGGGAUGACGUCAAGUCCUCAUGGCCCUUAUGGGUAGGGCUUCACACGUCAUACAAUGGUCGGUACAGAGGGUUGCCAAGCCGCGAGGUGGAGCCAAUCCCAGAAAGCCGAUCGUAGUCCGGAUUGUUCUCUGCAACUCGAGAGCAUGAAGUCGGAAUCGCUAGUAAUCGCGGAUCAGCAUGUCGCGGUGAAUACGUUCCCGGGUCUU
This 452-nucleotide ribosomal RNA is filed under the name uncultured Thiobacillus sp. RNAcentral's name for it is "bacterial SSU rRNA". It matches the Rfam family "Bacterial small subunit ribosomal RNA", at positions 923 to 1382 of the family's 1533-position model. Lineage: Bacteria; Pseudomonadati; Pseudomonadota; Betaproteobacteria; Nitrosomonadales; Thiobacillaceae. The record is from RNAcentral.